RNAcentral lists this ribosomal RNA (254 nucleotides) under uncultured bacterium. RNAcentral describes it as "partial 16S ribosomal RNA". It matches the Rfam family "Bacterial small subunit ribosomal RNA", at positions 524 to 776 of the family's 1533-position model. The record is from RNAcentral.
UACGUAGGGUGCGAGCGUUGUCCGGAAUUAUUGGGCGUAAAGAGCUCGUAGGCGGUCUGUCGCGUCGGUCGUGAAAACUUGGGGCUUAACCCUGAGCUUGCGGUUGAUACGGGCAUGACUGGAGUUCGGCAGGGGAGACUGGAAUUCCUGGUGUAGCGGUGAAAUGCGCAGAUAUCAGGAGGAACACCGGUGGCGAAGGCGGGUCUCUGGGCCGAUACUGACGCUGAGGAGCGAAAGCGUGGGGAGCGAACAGG